UGCGGGAUCGUCUAAUGGUAGGACAUCGCCCUUUGGAGGCGAGUAUGAACGUUCGAAUCGUUCUCCCGCAGCCA
This 74-nucleotide transfer RNA is filed under the name Candidatus Zambryskibacteria bacterium RIFCSPHIGHO2_01_FULL_52_18. RNAcentral's name for it is "tRNA-Gln". It matches the Rfam family "tRNA". From Rfam's summary of the family: Transfer RNA (tRNA) molecules are approximately 80 nucleotides in length. The record is from RNAcentral. RNAcentral also lists the same sequence under 3 other names. Lineage: Bacteria; Candidatus Zambryskiibacteriota.